Molecule: long non-coding RNA, 1254 nt
Filed under: Delphinapterus leucas (beluga whale)
Lineage: Eukaryota; Metazoa; Chordata; Mammalia; Artiodactyla; Monodontidae
Description: lncRNA (ENSDLEG00000010126.1)
Source: RNAcentral
UGCCCUUAUUCCCAACUAAGUCUAUGGCUCACUUUCCUCUUUUUUGUUAUGAUGUUUCAAGUUCUCAGCACGCAGGAUUUCAUAAAUACCCUUCAAUCACUCUCCUUGUAAGUUGAUUGUAAACACUUGGCUACAAAUAUUAUUUUUGGUUACCUCCACUAUUACCUUUCUUAAGAUGCAUCUGAAAUUCUCAACACCACUCAUCUUGGAUGUUAGAAAAGAUUGACAUCCCUAAGUAGUUUUUCCUUUCACAUCUCUCUUGUGGAAUUUACACUUUCAUAAAUCUCAUCUUUUGCCUUUCUCAAUUUAUAUCAAGUCUGUAAUCACAUAUCUCUCCCCACUCCUCAGAUCCCAUAGACCUUAUACACAACUAAACUGCAUGUUAAACAUCUAUGUGUGUCUCAUUCUCCCCUUGUUGACUUCUGUGAAGAGUCCUUCACAAAUAAUACAUUUCCCUGUCUGGAUUCAAUUUGUUUAUGGUAUCUCAACUGAGUAAAAUGUUGCUCCUUUCCAAGCCCAGUACAAGCCUCUUGACCCUUUGAUUUAGGUAUAAAUAUUACCUACUAUCAACUGAGUCCUGACGUGAUUUCAUUUAAUCUUCCCAACAGCCUUUGCACAGCAGAUCUCGAUAACCUUGUUUUACAAAUGGGUAUUUUCAGUAUGCAAAGAAUCACUUGGAGGAAAAGAGAUGAGUAGGGUCUGAAACCAAUACAGAAUUGGAAUUUGCGCAUUAAAGAGGGAUUCAGAAAUACUUCUCUGCCUGCUUCUGCCUCGUUCUUUCAUCGAACAGCUGAUAAAUGACAUCAAAAUAGAUGCUGCAAUUUUUAAAAGGAGGCUGCUCUCUUCCCAGACCAGACCUGAACCUAGUUGGGGCUUGUAAAGUGAAAAUACGUGAGACAUCAAGUCUGCAGACAAGUUCUCAUCAACUAUCUGGUUCCCCGAGUCUCAUGGUUCAUGUACUGAGCCUCCUCUGAAAACUCACAUAAAAAUACUGAUUCCUGGACCUCAGACAUGAUAAUUCAGUUGGACCGGGGUAUGGCCCAGAAACCUGCAUUUUAAACAAAUACCCUAAGUUAUUCUGAUAUAGAUGGUCCCCAAGCCACACUUGGAGAAAUAAUGCUCUGGUUAAGUCAUUUGCUCACAUGAUGAGAGGCCACAGUCUGUGCCAAAGUCCAUUCUUAUGGAUUCCACCAAAGGGCCAGUUUCCCCUUCACACCAGAGAAUGGUUCCCUCUCUCCUUCAUCUUUCAAAGGA